UCCGGUGCUUCGAGCGGAGAGGAAACACCCGUUCCCAUUCCGAACACGGAAGUUAAGCUCUCCAGCGCCAAUGAUACUUGGGCCUUGCUGCCCUGGGAAAGUAGGCCAGUGCCGGUA
This 117-nucleotide ribosomal RNA is filed under the name bacterium. The record is from RNAcentral.